Molecule: ribosomal RNA, 478 nt
Filed under: uncultured bacterium
Lineage: Bacteria
Description: partial 16S ribosomal RNA
Rfam family: Bacterial small subunit ribosomal RNA
Source: RNAcentral
GAUGAACGCUAGCGGCAGGCCUAACACAUGCAAGUCGAGGGAGAAGCCCUUUCGGGGGCAGAAACCGGCGCACGGGUGCGUAACGCGUAUGCAACCUACCUUUCACAGGGGGAUAGCCCGAAGAAAUUUGGAUUAAUACCCCAUAAUAUUAUUGGAUGGCAUCAUUUGAUAAUUAAAACUGCGGUGGUGAAAGAUGGGCAUGCGUCCUAUUAGCUAGUUGGAGUGGUAACGGCACCCCAAGGCUACGAUAGGUAGGGGUCCUGAGAGGGAGAUCCCCCACACUGGUACUGAGACAGGGACCAGACUCCUACGGGAGGCGGCAGUGAGGAAUAUUGGUCAAUGGUCGGAAGACUGAACCAGCCAUGCCGCGUGCAGGAAGAAUGCCUUAUGGGUUGUAAACUGCUUUUAUAUGGGAAGAAUAAGGCGUACGUGUACGUUGAUGACGGUACCAUAUGAAUAAGCAUCGGCUAACUCCGUG